UUUCAUUAGUCUGAUUCAAUUGAAAGUAAAAUAUAAAUGAGACAAUUAAUUAAUGCAGAUAAAUAAACUUUGUUGCACCAAUUUAUUAUGGCAGUUAGGGAUUAGCCUCUUCAUCUCCCAGCUGCAAGAGGGCAUCCAUCUCUUCCUUGAACUUGGGCAUAGCAGCUCUUGGGAGAGAAAUAAGCACUCUAACUCCACCUUUCAUUGAACUAUCCAAAUUGGAAGGCGGCAAGAAAAUACACAAAUCCACAUAACCAAACAUGUUCCAUGGCACUGGGAUUAUGUUCACUGCAGCCUUCCAUCCAAAAUCUACUUCCUCCAACAGACCCAGUUGCCUCCAAUCUGUCAAAACCAUGACUGCACCACUCCCAGCUUCAAUCUUGAUAUUUUUCUCUAUUAAUGUCUCCAUAAUAUUUAUGCGAUUCCAAAUGUAGUCUGAAUUAGAAGCAAGUUUCUUGCUUUCUUUGAUGAGUUUGACAGCUUCAGAAAGUGGUCCUUCAUUGAGAUUCCUACCCAUUAAGUCCACAGUUGAAGAUGAAAUGGCAUUUCCAUAGUACCCACUAGGCAAAGGUGGAUUCAAAAGUUGCCUUAUCCCCAUAGUUAAGAAGAAGAUGGUUUUCCCAUCUGGGUUCAGCUUGAAAGCUCUAAACCUUGACCUCCAAAUGUAGGCACCAAGCACUUCAAGAGUGGAGAAACUUUCUUUCGUUACUCCAUUCUCAUCACGUAAUUCCUGCAUUAGGUUCAUUUUCAGUCUUCUUAUACUCUCACUGUUCACGUAAAAGCAUUCAUGCAAGAUGUCAGUCGUUGGCAAAUAUGGCGAUUUUGCUAAACCAGCGCUUUCAACUAUUGGGGGUAAGGGUUCCUGAGUAGCUUUUCCUACCAGUCUUUCCCUUUCCCACACGGGUUUUAACGUAGGCUCAGUCUUUCCACUUGCAAACUCGGCCAUGGCUCUGAAAAAUUGAGAUGCACCAAACCCAUCACACACUGAGUGUGAUAAGCCCAUUCCAAUAGUGAAACCCCCACAUGAAAAUUUGGUCACCUGAAAUACUAGAGGGUAAUAACCAGACUCAAUCUUUGAUGGAAAAUCAAAAACAAAUUGUUUGGCAAUGUCAACAUCAAUACCAUCCAAGUAAUGAAGAGAAGAAAGCUGGCAAUUAGCAGUUGCCUCCAAGAAUGGCACACCAUCUCCACUGCAGGUGAUAUUUAGUCUACCAUCACUAUUCCUCUUGAGCUUUCCAGCUAGAGGAUAGUACUGCACUAAAACAUUGGAAAUGGCAUCUUUAAUCACACAGGCAGGGUCUGAGUCUGCUCCUUUACAAUUAAACUUUGAUGCAAUACCAUCACGAUGAUGAGCAUUACCAUUAGAAAGAAUGGGCUUUGCUUGGUAUACAUAAAUGCUUUGACAUAAAAGCUCAAGGUUACGAUCAUUAUCGAUACUAGAGAAAGAAAGAACUUCAAAGGGGGUAGGUUUCGCUGGUUUAACAAGCUCAACAUCCUUUCUUUCAAGAAGAAAGGGCAUGUUAUUAUGGUGGGUUGCCAUGGAAUGAAGAUGUGGGUGUGAGAAUCUAAUUGAUAAUAAGAGGGUAAUUACAAUGAGA
This 1598-nucleotide unclassified non-coding RNA is filed under the name Hevea brasiliensis (rubber tree). Lineage: Eukaryota; Viridiplantae; Streptophyta; Magnoliopsida; Malpighiales; Euphorbiaceae. The record is from RNAcentral.